This 254-nucleotide ribosomal RNA is filed under the name uncultured bacterium. RNAcentral describes it as "partial 16S ribosomal RNA". It matches the Rfam family "Bacterial small subunit ribosomal RNA", at positions 524 to 776 of the family's 1533-position model. The record is from RNAcentral.
CACGUAGGGUGCGAGCGUUGUCCGGAAUUAUUGGGCGUAAAGAGCUCGUAGGCGGUGUGUCGCGUCGGCCGUGAAAACCUGCAGCUUAACUGUGGGCUUGCGGUCGAUACGGGCAUCACUGGAGUUCGGCAGGGGAGACUGGAAUUCCUGGUGUAGCGGUAAAAUGCGCAGAUAUCAGGAGGAACACCGGUGGCGAAGGCGGGUCUCUGGGCCGAUACUGACGCUGAGGAGCGAAAGCGUGGGGAGCGAACAGG